GCACUCGUAGCGCAAUUGGAUAGAGUGUCGGCCUCCGACGCCGAAGGUUGUGGGUUCGAUUCCCGCCGGGUGCACCA
Molecule: transfer RNA, 77 nt
Filed under: Bacillota bacterium
Lineage: Bacteria; Bacillati; Bacillota
Also listed under: 1 other name
Description: tRNA-Arg
Rfam family: tRNA
About the family: Transfer RNA (tRNA) molecules are approximately 80 nucleotides in length.
Source: RNAcentral